AUGCCUUUGCCACAAAAUUAUGUUCUUGGGGCUAAAGAUCUGCCAAGGGCCAUGCUUAGCGAUCAUAUAGAAGAACAACUCUUUAAACGGCUCAAUGAAGAGAGACACGAACGGGCUAUUCAUAAUGGGAAAAGUUUUGAUGAGGUUAGUGCUGCCUCAUCAAUUUACAGAAUCUUACGUUUAUGGAUCCUAUGUUUUCUUUUUCUUGUUUAUAUCUUGGUUUCCUUUCCUGAAUAUGAAAUAUGUGGUUUGUGUACUUCUUACAAACAGAGAUGUGUUGCUCCUUCUGCAUACUUUUAUUCCUUUUUUUAG
Molecule: ribosomal RNA, 312 nt
Filed under: Triticum aestivum (bread wheat)
Lineage: Eukaryota; Viridiplantae; Streptophyta; Magnoliopsida; Poales; Poaceae
Description: partial small subunit ribosomal RNA
Source: RNAcentral